Long non-coding RNA from Glycine soja, 726 nucleotides. RefSeq lists it as uncharacterized. Lineage: Eukaryota; Viridiplantae; Streptophyta; Magnoliopsida; Fabales; Fabaceae. The record is from RefSeq and is a predicted model, not a curated record. The transcript is spliced from 2 exons.
UCUAACGAUCCAUAUUGAUUCACUAAUUCCUAUCGCGUGACCUCUUUUCAUUUUCUAUCUCACGAGAACUCCUUGCAUUCUUUGUUGCCCUAUUUCUCUUCUCAUCUCAAUGUCUCGCGAUGUCUGUGUUUUCCCUGUUCGCUAAGUCGUCGUCGUUGCUUAAUCUGAGACACCAUCGUCUAGUUCGUUUUGUUAUCGUCAACGCCUAGCCUAAGACGCCAUCACCCAAUUUGCUAGGUCGUUGCCGUCUCCCCAUUCUAAGAUGCCACCGUCUGUGUGUAGAUUUUAAGGAGUGGAAGCUUGAUCUUGAUUGGAACAAAUAGGCAAAAUGGAAGACAUGUAUUUGGUUUGCCUCUCACGUUUUGGGCAUUGCAAAAAGAAGUAAAGUUCAGCACAAGCUCAAGACGAUAAAAGACUUUGAUGAAGACUGAUACAAUUCCAACCACUAUGCCUAAACUGGGAGGGAUAGCUGCAAAUUAGUUAGGAGUUAGGAGAGUAGUGUUCUUAUGGUUGCAUAUUUAUGUUUAUCUUUUAUGGUUAAGCAAUGUAGUAACAAAUUGUGCAAUUGAUAUAGGUGUUGGAGGUAUAUUCUGUAGGGGCAUUGGUGAAUUUUGCAACCUCGAUCUUUAAUUUGGUUUCUCAGUUCGACGAUUUCAAUUAUUGUAAAUGUUGUACAUAGCUUUGGUUCCCAAUUAAUAAAAUUUGACUUUGUUAUGGUUUCAGUUA